AUGGACCACUGUUGGACCUCUGAGCGGUGUGCUCGCCAUGGACUCCCACAUGAUCCUUACUACAAAUUUUGCUGCCAAGAGCUCAAGACCAUAGACCACCUCCUAGUCCAAUGCGCCUUCUCCAGAAUCACUUGGCAUGAAAUCCUCUCUUGGUGCAGACUGCCAGCUUCUCCGUCAACUGCCUCAGCAAGCUUCUACGCCUGGUGGUCGGCCACCAGCAAUGCCACUCCGGCCAGCCUUCGCAAAGGAGCAAACUCCUUCAUUUCCCUUGUCGCCUGCUCCUUGUGGAAGCACCACAAUGCUACGGUUUUUGAUAACAUUCAGCCAUCGAGCAACGAUCUCGCGCGCACUAUCCGGGAUGAGGCUCGCCUGGGGCCCAUGCCAGUGCCAAAGGCCUAG
RNAcentral lists this ribosomal RNA (399 nucleotides) under Triticum aestivum (bread wheat). RNAcentral describes it as "partial small subunit ribosomal RNA". The record is from RNAcentral. Lineage: Eukaryota; Viridiplantae; Streptophyta; Magnoliopsida; Poales; Poaceae.